CUUGAUUGCAUUUUCUAUACAAUCAUCCAACUUCUUGGGGAAAAUCCUGAUGUCCUCAAUUAUCAGUCUAAUAUCCUAUCAGAUCUUUCUUGUUGUGGUAAGUAAUGUUGUUGAUAUUAUUCUGAAACCAUCUUGUUGACCUUCAAGUGGGUUCGAUCGCAUCAAGCCUCUGCUAUCAGAGGUGACUGACAAAAACAUUUCCUGACACCACCGCCGAUGAGGGAGCCUACCGAAUUCCUGCAAACGAAAGCAAUAGUAGCCUUGUCAGUUAUCAUAUUAAUGAAGCAGAUAUCAUGAAGUCCAGCUAUUAGGGUUGCUAUUGGUCUGUAGAUGGUUAGAAGAAGACUAUAGGAGCUUGAGCAUAAUGAAGAGGGAUCUGCUUUUGUGAUCUUCUGGUUUUUUGGACUGUCCUUGUUGGAUGAAUAUGAGCUAAUUUAGACAAAAUAUUCUUUCAUGCCAACGAAAUAGCCCAGCAAAUAUCUGCCAGGUUGAUUUUAUCUUCGUGUUGGUUGCUAUUCAGAAUAUUGAGAAGCUCCCUCCACUAAUCAUUAAAAGAGAGAAAUUGAAAAUGGCAAAAAUCGACACCAAAAUUUGCAACCAACCAAGUGGCCUUUGGCGUGGUUAUAAAAAAAAAAGCUUGUAGUUGAUUGUCUUAGGUUCCUCCUGACCAUACACAAGGAGGAAAGCAAUUGGAGGGAUUAUAUUCUCUUCUGUACAGAUUGUUUGUAACUGCAAUUGCAUUUUUAAAUUUUAAAUGCAUCUCCAAAGAAAGGUCCUCAGCUUGGAUUUUCAGAAGUUUUUAGAGUGAAUGCCUGAG
RNAcentral lists this long non-coding RNA (817 nucleotides) under Ricinus communis (castor bean). Its description in RNAcentral is "long non-coding RNA (RCOM_LNC000273)". Lineage: Eukaryota; Viridiplantae; Streptophyta; Magnoliopsida; Malpighiales; Euphorbiaceae. The record is from RNAcentral.